Molecule: transfer-messenger RNA, 353 nt
Filed under: Acutalibacteraceae
Lineage: Bacteria; Bacillati; Bacillota; Clostridia; Eubacteriales
Also listed under: 1 other name
Description: RUG420 sp017433225 Standard tmRNA
Rfam family: transfer-messenger RNA
About the family: Bacterial tmRNA, also known as 10Sa RNA or SsrA, is named for its dual tRNA and mRNA-like properties. Its role is to liberate the mRNA from a stalled ribosome. To accomplish this part of the tmRNA is used as a reading frame that ends in a translation stop signal.
Source: RNAcentral
GGGGAUGAAAGGAUUUCGACGGGGGUCUGGAAGUAAGAUAAGCGAGCCGAGCUGAGGAAUCUCGUAAAAGCCUCAAAUUGUCUAAAAUAAACGACAACUCUAAUUACGAACUUCAGGCUGCGUAAAGCUAGCCUGCAUCGGAACCGGGAGUACCGCGGCCCGGGGACGGUGUCAUUUUAGCGGUGAACGUGAAUGGCGAUCCGUUCCAGUCGCCAUCAUGACUUCGGAACUACCGACGGUGUAAGCCUGUCAGCCGGCUCACACCCGGGGGAAUCUCAAUAGACUGAAUACGCUCGUAGAAAGUUUUAUGGAGGGCAGCUCGGACGCGGGUUCGAUUCCCGCCAUCUCCACCA